CCUACGGGAGGCAGCAGCCGCGGUAAUACGUAGGGUGCAAGCGUUAAUCGGAAUUACUGGGCGUAAAGCGUGCGCAGGCGGUUAUAUAAGACAGAUGUGAAAUCCCCGGGCUCAACCUGGGAACUGCAUUUGUGACUGUAUAGCUAGAGUACGGCAGAGGGGGAUGGAAUUCCGCGUGUAGCAGUGAAAUGCGUAGAUAUGCGGAGGAACACCGAUGGCGAAGGCAAUCCCCUGGGCCUGUACUGACGCUCAUGCACGAAAGCGUGGGGAGCAAACAGGAUUAGAUACCCUGGUAGUCCACGCCCUAAACGAUGUCAACUGGUUGUUGGGUCUUCACUGACUCAGUAACGAAGCUAACGCGUGAAGUUGACCGCCUGGGGAGUACGGCCGCAAGGUUGAAACUCAAAUGAAUUGACGG
RNAcentral lists this ribosomal RNA (418 nucleotides) under uncultured bacterium. RNAcentral's name for it is "bacterial SSU rRNA". It matches the Rfam family "Bacterial small subunit ribosomal RNA", at positions 500 to 916 of the family's 1533-position model. The record is from RNAcentral.